GAUGAAGAACGUAGCGAAAUGCGAUAAGUAAUGUGAAUUGCAGAAUUCAGUGAAUCAUCGAAUCUUUGAACGCACAUUGCGCCCGCCAGUAUUCUGGCGGGCAUGCCUGUCUGUGCGUCAUUUCAACCCUCAUGCCCCUAGGGCGUGGUGUUGGGGAUCGGCCAAAGCCCGCGAGGGACGGCCGGCCCCUAAAUCUAGUGGCGGACCCGUCGUGGCCUCCUCUGCGAAGUAGUGAUAUUCCGCAUCGGAGAGCGACGAGCCCCUGCCGUUAAACCCCCAACUUUCCAAGGUUGACCUCAGAUCAGGUAGGAAUACCCGCUGAACUUAAGCAUAUCAAUAAGCGGAGGA
RNAcentral lists this unclassified non-coding RNA (348 nucleotides) under soil metagenome. RNAcentral describes it as "partial contains 5.8S ribosomal RNA, internal transcribed spacer 2, and large subunit ribosomal RNA". The stretch from base 1 to 120 matches the Rfam family "5.8S ribosomal RNA", at positions 35 to 154 of the family's 154-position model. The record is from RNAcentral.